Molecule: ribosomal RNA, 215 nt
Filed under: uncultured bacterium
Lineage: Bacteria
Description: partial 16S ribosomal RNA
Rfam family: Bacterial small subunit ribosomal RNA
Source: RNAcentral
UCCCAGUUCGGAUUGUAGUCUGNAACCCGACUACAUGAAGCUGGAAUCGCUAGUAAUCGCAGGUCAGCAUACUGCGGUGAAUACGUUCCCGGGUCUUGUACACACCGCCCGUCACACCAUGGGAGCCGGAAAUGCCCGAAGCCAGUGACCCAACCUUAGGGAGGGAGCUGUCGAAGGUGGAGCCGGUAACUGGGGUGAAGUCGUAACAAGGUAUC